This is a non-coding RNA of Caretta caretta (loggerhead turtle), 1138 nucleotides long. The record is from RefSeq and is a predicted model, not a curated record. Lineage: Eukaryota; Metazoa; Chordata; Testudines; Cheloniidae.
GCAGCGCUUACCUCAGGCAGCUCCUGGGAAGCAGCCAGCGUGUCCCUCUGGCUCCUAGGAGCCUGGUAGGGAGCCUGCCAGCCCUGCUGCGCUGCCAACCGGAUGUUUAACUGCCGACCAGAGCCGCCAGGGUAAAAACCAGACACUGGCAACCCUAGCAUCAAGAACAUUCAGGUCCCCCACAUCCCACUCGCCACAGGGCCCCACCCCAUCCUCUGCCCCAGUCUAGAAGCCAGAGCUGGGCCAUGGUAAGGGCUGCCCAGGAACCCCGGGCCGCUAUGGGGCAGGGGACAUGUGGUGGCUCUUGUGUUAACUUGCCACUGCGUAGCGCACAUUUCCACCUCUUCACAUCUUUUUGUUUGUUCCGACGGAUGUUUGGAAUGGUUCUUUUGCAAGGUGAUGCGCACAUGUGCCAUGAGGUGCAAGGGAUGUGCCGUUAUACCCUCAUGCUACCAGUGCUGAAGCCAUGGUGGAAAAUGACAAGCCUUCGCCUGAGCCAGUGCCAUAUAGACUGUGUGCUGGCAUAUCUGGCUAUUAGGAAGAGCCCGUCACCAUUUUGGGGGUGGAUCUCAAGGAGGAGCCAGACAUAGGAUUUAGUCCUGGUCUGGAGAGAGGACAUCUCUAGUGAGUAAUCCCAUCUCUCUUCCCCCACAUAAUGUAGUGGAGUUCACAGGGGAAUGUAUUGCUUCUUGGUGAUGGCUGGAGGAAGGGAACAGCAGCAAGUGGGUUCUGGAGCAACACAGGAUGGGCUGUGGGAGAGGCUGAUGAGGCAUCACCCAGACUUGUUAUAGCAGUCCCAAUAAAGUAAGUAUAUUGGUGGAGUUUGUGUGUCUACCAAGUAACCAUGAUUCUUGCAUUUUGUAUUUUUGUAGGACAUCCUACAUCCCUCCUGGACAUCCCUCCGUCUGUUCCCAUUUCCCCCAAAUUAGGAAGUGUUCGCUUAAAAGAAAAAAAUGAAUAAACCUUUUUUCCCCAUUCUGUUUGUGUGUCUUGCUGUGUUCCUUUUUAAGUUUUGGUGGAGGUUUGUGUGGUUCUGUUUGCACAAGCAAUGCAGAGUGAGACAGCAUAAGCUGACAUGGUGCUUAGCCUUGCUAAGCAAAUGCAGUUACAUUUUUGUCUGUGGAUGUAUAGUGUUUUA